Molecule: long non-coding RNA, 2643 nt
Filed under: Diabrotica virgifera virgifera (western corn rootworm)
Lineage: Eukaryota; Metazoa; Arthropoda; Insecta; Coleoptera; Chrysomelidae
Description: uncharacterized LOC126885629
Source: RNAcentral
UAGCCAUUUAAAUAUUUUACAUCUAUAUAUAUAAAAGAAAGUCGAGGUUGUGUUAGUUACACCAUUUAUAACUCGAGAACGACUGAACAGAUUUUUAAAAUUUUACAUGUAUAUACUAGCGGUCUGGGAAUAGGAUAAUAUGGAGUUUCAUACCCGUACGUCAUAAGGGGUGUUGCCCCCCUGAUAUAUUUUUUUAAUUUUUGGAAAAACCGUUUUUUACUAUUUUUAUGAGAUGUAGAAGCAAAAGAUACAUACAAUCCUAAAUUUUCAAUUUUUUAUCUCAGACCGUUAUUUUUUAAUAGCCAUUUAAAUAUUUUACAUCUAUAUAUAUAAAAGAAAGUCGAGGUUGUGUUAGUUACACCAUUUAUAACUCGAGAACGACUGAACAGAUUUUUAUGAAAUUUUACAUGUAUAUUCUAGCGGUCUGGGAAUAGGAUAAUAUGGAGUUUCAUACCCGUACGUCAUAAGGGGUGUUGCCCCCCCUGAUAUAUUUUUUUAAUUUUUGGAAAAACCGUUUUUUACUAUUUUUAUGAGAUGUAGAAGCAAAAGGUACAUACAAUCCUAAAUUUUCAAUUUUUUAUCUCAGACCGUUAUUUUUUAAUAGCCAUUUAAAGAUUUUACAUCUAUAUAUAUAAAAGAAAGUCGAGGUUGUGUUAGUUACACCAUUUAUAACUCGAGAACGACUGAACAGAUUUUUAUGAAAUUUUACAUGUAUAUUCUAGCGGUCUGGGAAUAGGAUAAUAUGGAGUUUCAUACCCGUACGUCAUAAGGGGUGUUGCCCCCCCUGAUAUAUUUUUUUAAUUUUUGGAAAAACCGUUUUUUACUAUUUUUAUGAGAUGUAGAAGCAAAAGAUACAUACAAUCCUAAAUUUUCAAUUUUUUAUCUCAGACCGUUAUUUUUUAAUAGCCAUUUAAAUAUUUUACAUCUAUAUAUAUAAAAGAAAGUCGAGGUUGUGUUAGUUACACCAUUUAUAACUCGAGAACGACUGAACAGAUUUUUAUGAAAUUUUACAUGUAUAUUCUAGCGGUCUGGGAAUAGGAUAAUAUGGAGUUUCAUACCCGUACGUCAUAAGGGGUGUUGCCCCCCCUGAUAUAUUUUUUUAAUUUUUGGAAAAACCGUUUUUUACUAUUUUUAUGAGAUGUAGAAGCAAAAGGUACAUACAAUCCUAAAUUUUCAAUUUUUUAUCUCAGACCGUUAUUUUUUAAUAGCCAUUUAAAGAUUUUACAUCUAUAUAUAUAAAAGAAAGUCGAGGUUGUGUUAGUUACACCAUUUAUAACUCGAGAACGACUGAACAGAUUUUUAUGAAAUUUUACAUGUAUAUUCUAGCGGUCUGGGAAUAGGAUAAUAUGGAGUUUCAUACCCGUACGUCAUAAGGGGUGUUGCCCCCCCUGAUAUAUUUUUUUAAUUUUUGGAAAAACCGUUUUUUACUAUUUUUAUGAGAUGUAGAAGCAAAAGGUACAUACAAUCCUAAAUUUUCAAUUUUUUAUCUCAGACCGUUAUUUUUUAAUAGCCAUUUAAAGAUUUUACAUCUAUAUAUAUAAAAGAAAGUCGAGGUUGUGUUAGUUACACCAUUUAUAACUCGAGAACGACUGAACAGAUUUUUAUGAAAUUUUACAUGUAUAUUCUAGCGGUCUGGGAAUAGGAUAAUAUGGAGUUUCAUACCCGUACGUCAUAAGGGGUGUUGCCCCCCCUGAUAUAUUUUUUUAAUUUUUGGAAAAACCGUUUUUUACUAUUUUUAUGAGAUGUAGAAGCAAAAGGUACAUACAAUCCUAAAUUUUCAAUUUUUUAUCUCAGACCGUUAUUUUUUAAUAGCCAUUUAAAGAUUUUACAUCUAUAUAUAUAAAAGAAAGUCGAGGUUGUGUUAGUUACACCAUUUAUAACUCGAGAACGACUGAACAGAUUUUUAUGAAAUUUUACAUGUAUAUUCUAGCGGUCUGGGAAUAGGAUAAUAUGGAGUUUCAUACCCGUACGUCAUAAGGGGUGUUGCCCCCCCUGAUAUAUUUUUUUAAUUUUUGGAAAAACCGUUUUUUACUAUUUUUAUGAGAUGUAGAAGCAAAAGAUACAUACAAUCCUAAAUUUUCAAUUUUUUAUCUCAGACCGUUAUUUUUUAAUAGCCAUUUAAAUAUUUUACAUCUAUAUAAAAAUUCGCCGGUCGCAGUGUUUGUUACCAUACUCCUCCGAAACGACUUAACCGAUUUUUAUGAAAUUUUGCAGGUAUAUUGGACUGUACUGGGAGUAGGUUGCUGUCUAUAUUUCAUACCCGUAUGUCAUUAGGGGGUUGCCCAUGACGCCGUAACUCUCACAAUAAUGACGUGAAAAAUAUGAAAUUAAGUAGGUAGACUCCUUGCUGAAUUCCGAGCAGAACCGUACUAAAAUUUUUUGUCUAGCACAAUCGGUGUCCGAAAUACAAUAUCUCAAGCCGUAGGAAUAUUCUGAGGACAGAAGAAGAACGAGCGACAAAUUUCAUAGAAGAGAAGUGGCACAGUUUAACUUUGGGACUCAAAUUGGGCAAAAUAUGAAUUUUUUAAUUUUGCGAAAUUUUCAAAAAAUAUCUCUAAACGGAACCGUAAGCAGGAGAAAAAUUCUGAGCACACGAAAAGAACAAGCAGCAAAUUAUAAAAUUUUAUUUAAUUUUAAUUCAUU